Long non-coding RNA from Populus nigra (black poplar), 722 nucleotides. RefSeq lists it as uncharacterized. The record is from RefSeq and is a predicted model, not a curated record. Lineage: Eukaryota; Viridiplantae; Streptophyta; Magnoliopsida; Malpighiales; Salicaceae. The transcript has 2 exons.
AUAUUUUAUCCCAAUUUUCUAGCUAUCUCUCUGUGGCAGAAUCUGGGCAAGUAGUCGAAUCACUAUUUGUCAUUAUUUUUUUCAAAAAAAGAAGGGGGAUGUCGUCUACCCCUUAAAGCAUCCAUACUCUUGCUCUCUAAAAAGAGUACUUAGCUACAAUAGUUAGCAAAGUGGUUUUUUUCCAUAGCAUUGUUACCAGCAAAAAGGCUCUCUAUUUUGGCAAAGUUAACGAUGCUCUGUAGCUCUCUCUCUCUCUCUCUCUCUCUCUCUAUUGCUGGGAUACAAUGGCGGGGAAGAGUGCCUGACUCGAGUGACAAAGAAGGCUGCCAUUUUUAUGCGGGUGUUGUCGUCAAAGUUUUCACUUUUGAAGAAGUGAUUGUGCAUAACACACCCAAGGACUCUUGGCUUAUUAUCAACGGCAAGGUGAGAUCUUUUACUGACUUUUCUUGAAAUAUGUGUUCUCUGUUCUUUGGGAUCUAUUCAUGUAGCUUACCUUUCUUAAUUCAAUCAGUGGCUAUCCAAUGUGUUAGAACUAGUUUCUUCACUGUUUAAAUGUAUAGAAAAUUUAUAUAGUGCAUUUCUAAUGAUUAAUUUGCUGUCGAAAUUGUGUUAUAGAGGGAUUGGGCAGUAGGAAGAUCAACUAAUGGAAUUAUGCUUGUGUAAAAGGAUUAGAAAUUUUAUAAUUUAAAUAAUAAUUAUAAAAAAUUAUUCUUGAUUCUCCA